AGAUGUGAGGGCGGUCUGGCUAGACCAUCGGUCACUCCAUAGAUACCCAGGUUGAUUUGGCUGAUCUGGCUGGCUGGCUGGGUGUUCCCUUCCUCACUGCUCCAUGCUGGUGGGACAGAGGGGGGCCAUUUCUAUGGUCAAGGGUAUAUGAGUAGAUGCAUUCCCCUGCUAGAACCUGCACAAACGCUCAGAAGGGCUAGGGGUAUAGCGCAGUGGUAGUGUGUUUAUAUGCAAAAGGCCCUGGAUUU
RNAcentral lists this small nuclear RNA (248 nucleotides) under Chinchilla lanigera (long-tailed chinchilla). Its description in RNAcentral is "7SK RNA (ENSCLAG00000022046.1)". It matches the Rfam family "7SK RNA". From Rfam's summary of the family: 7SK was discovered as an abundant small nuclear RNA in the mid-70s but a possible function has only recently been suggested. Two independent studies have found that 7SK RNA binds the CDK9/cyclin T complex (known as elongation factor P-TEFb). P-TEFb activates transcription by phosphorylating the C-terminal domain of RNA polymerase II. The record is from Rfam by way of RNAcentral. Lineage: Eukaryota; Metazoa; Chordata; Mammalia; Rodentia; Chinchillidae.